GAUGAACGCUAGCUACAGGCUUAACACAUGCAAGUCGAGGGGAAACGACAUCGACAGCUUGCUUUUGCUGGGCGUCGACCGGCGCACGGGUGAGUAACGCGUAUCCCCCCUGCCCAUCACUUGGGAAUAACCUUGCGAAAGUAAGACUAAUACCCAAUGACAUCCCCCGAAGACAUCUGAAUGGGAUUAUAGAUUUAUCGGUGAUGGAUGGGGAUGCGUCUGAUUAGCUUGUUGGCGGGGUAACGGCCCACCAAGGCAACGAUCAGUAGGGGUUCUGAGAGGAAGGUCCCCCACAUUGGAACUGAGACACGGUCCAAAAUCCUACGGGAGGCGGCAGUGAGGAACAUUGGUCAAUGGGCGAGAGCCUGAACCAGCCAAGUAGCGUGCAGGAGGACGGCCCUAUGGGUUGUAAACUGCUUUUAUAAGGGAAUAAAGUGGGUCUCGUGAGACUUUUUGCAGGUACCUUAUGAAUAAGAACCGGCUAAUUCCGUG
This 492-nucleotide ribosomal RNA is filed under the name uncultured bacterium. Its description in RNAcentral is "partial 16S ribosomal RNA". It matches the Rfam family "Bacterial small subunit ribosomal RNA", at positions 28 to 507 of the family's 1533-position model. The record is from RNAcentral.